This 334-nucleotide unclassified non-coding RNA is filed under the name Zanthoxylum mollissimum. Its description in RNAcentral is "partial external transcribed spacer". The record is from RNAcentral. Lineage: Eukaryota; Viridiplantae; Streptophyta; Magnoliopsida; Sapindales; Rutaceae.
GUGUUGCUUACCCGUGGAAAGGAAUUCGAUGGUUUUGUUGUCCCUAUUCGCCUUGUACCCUUUGGGGUGCGGGGUGGACRUGAGGUGGGCUCCGUGUUCCCCGCGUGUUGAGUGCGUUGACACUUGCUCGUUGUGGCCCAUGGGGUCUCAGCCCGUGCUCUCGGAUAUGGAAUGUUGUGUGUGGGCGUGGGGUCUCGGCCUCUUCUCGUCCAAGCUACACGCAUUGUCCCUUGACAUGAACGACUGCUGCUCCCGUCUUGAUCGGCCGACCGAACCCUUAUCACRGGGUUUUGGGAGGGCGGCUCAUGCGGUUGUCGGCGUUGGAGAGGAAUGC